CCUACGGGAGGCAGCAGUAGGGAAUUUUCCACAAUGGGCGAAAGCCUGAUGGAGCAAUACCGCGUGCAGGAUGAAGGCCUUCGGGUCGUAAACUGCUUUUAUGUGCGAAGAAUUUGACGGUAACACAUGAAUAAGGAUCGGCUAACUACGUGCCAGCAGCCGCGGUCAUACGUAGGGUCCAAGCGUUAUCCGGAAUUACUGGGCGUAAAGAGUUGCGUAGGUGGCAUUAUAAGUGGAGCGUGAAAGCGUGCGGCUCAACCGCAUUAUUGCGUUCCAAACUGUGAAGCUUGAGUAUGGGAGAGGUAGAUGGAAUUUCUAGUGUAGGAGUGAAAUCCGUAGAUAUUAGAAGGAACACCGAUGGCGUAGGCAGUCUACUGGCCCAUUACUGACACUAAGGCACGAAAGCGUGGGGAGCAAACGGGAUUAGAUACCCCGGUAGUCCACGCUGUAAACUAUGGAUGCUAGCUGUGACACACAUCGACCUGUGUCGUAGCGAAGUUAACGCGUUAAGCAUCCCGCCUGGGGAGUACGGUCGCAAGAUUAAAACUCAAAAUGAAUUGACGG
RNAcentral lists this ribosomal RNA (564 nucleotides) under uncultured bacterium. RNAcentral's name for it is "bacterial SSU rRNA". It matches the Rfam family "Bacterial small subunit ribosomal RNA", at positions 338 to 916 of the family's 1533-position model. The record is from RNAcentral.